Paramormyrops kingsleyae is the source of this 1794-nucleotide non-coding RNA. Lineage: Eukaryota; Metazoa; Chordata; Actinopteri; Osteoglossiformes; Mormyridae. The record is from RefSeq and is a predicted model, not a curated record.
UGGAUCGUUGGUAAUAUUUCCGGAAGAUGACCAUGUCACAGUUUCGCAAAAUGAAUUCACGCCUCCUCCUGAAGUGACUUGCGAUGCGCCUUCGCCGUUUCCAGUGCAUUAAAACAUUGUUUUUCAGCCGCAUCCGCGCUUCUUUCUCGAAAUGUAUAGUUUGUCUAAAGUGAUGUAUACAAACUAUAUGGUAUACGAUGACCAGCGAUACAAUCAGCCAGCGCAGUCGUCCCUCCAUACUAAAUAGCGGCAUGUUGUCUACCGGCUUGUUGUCUCCUCGCUUUGUUUACUUCCGGGAGUUCCAUUGGAAUUUUCCCGCACGUUAAUUCUGACCAAUUAAAAAGCAGUUUACGAAAUACGUUUAAUGGCACAUCUGGCCAACGAGUGAUGUAGAUGUUGUCAUUUUGGUUCGUUUCAACUGGUUCGGACCAGAGCAAUCAGUGUGGUGUGAAAAGGACCCAAAACGGCAGAAAAAUGCUACACUGUAUCAUUUGUUGCCCUUGGUCCGGACCAAAUGAACCGAACCACAGAUGUGAAAGCACCCUCAGUCCUAAGUAUUAUAAUCACACUGAGAAUAAUUCAGAACUGCAAUCCCCUGAGUGAUGAUAUUGGUUUUAGUAUUAUUUCCAAGAUAGUCUAGUUAUUGUUUAUAAGCAAUCCGAGGGGUAGGUCUACAUAACACUGACAAAACAUUCCUGCAUCAAAGCGUCCUGGGCAAACUGAAGCAUUCAAUUUCUCCGUAAAAAAGUACUGGGGAUGGUUAGCACAAUCAAUAAUGUAAAAAAAAUAAAAUCAUGUUGAGCCAUUAGUCUGUCUGCAUCCUAACGAAGCAAACCAGUGAAACGAGAAAAUCAACCUCGAGUUGAAAAUGAAAAUUGCACCUGAGAAAUGGGUGGCAUUCCCCUUUCAAAACGAUCGGCCGAACUAAUAUAGUCCUUGGAUGCUGUUUAUAAACCCCAGCUUAUGUGCCCUAUCGGCUCGGUGCGUAAAUAAGGCAAACAGAUUUGCACUUAAGAAGCUAAUACACAUGCUGAUAAUUAACUUCUAAACAUUGCUCGACGACAACAUUUUUUUUUGUUUGAGGGAAAACGUUGAACGCAUGAGUUGCAGGGCACGCCAAGGUGCCCCCGGUUUUUACCAGCUUUUGAUAACGGGUUUCCUCGGUACUGUAGCCCCGCAUCGGAUCUUGCGGGCGGCGACAGUUGCUUUCAUGGAGGAAAAGCAAGCACCGGCCAGGGAUUAAACGCACGCCACGGCGCACAGCUCUUACGAGGCAUAGACCAUCAUAUAGUGAAUUCUGUAUGAUAAAUCACGAAGUGACAAAAUGAAGCAUUUUUUAAGAAGACAACUCAUUAUUCCAUCACGCUUUUAUGAAGCCAAAUUAUAGUCGGAAGCCCCUCGCGAAAAGUAAGGAAGAUAUACAAAAAGACAAGGCUAUUCAAACAACGAAACAUAAGCUACCAUUGGCAACUCACACCGCUCGCCCUGUUUCUCAGAUUAUGGGAUUUAUCUUGUUGAUCUCGAUCAUACGUCGGACUGCAAAACCUGCUGCAUGGUUGUCUUAUGCAGUUUUUCGAUAUAUUUUCCCCGAAAAAGUUAAGCUUAUUUAUCGCACCAGUUAGCCUAUAUGAUUAUGGUAGCCUACCCAGAUAGCAAAUGUACAUUGAAUCAACGUUCUUUUUUAUAUCAUCUAAUGCAUUGAAUCAAUGUUUAUCUCUGACAUCAGAAUAAACUCAUUAGCGCACAUCGACUUUUGAUUGAAAUACCGUUGAUUCAAUGUUAUAUUUUGAUGUA